GACGACGCUGGCGGCGUGCCUAACACAUGCAAGUCGAGCGGGGUUGAAGCGAGAGGUAACUCGAACUUCUACCUAGCGGCGGACGGGUGAGUAACGCGUGGGCAACCUGCCUCAAGGUUUGGGAUAACAGCCCGAAAGGGCUGCUAAUACCGGAUAUGCCUAUGGCCUCGCAUGGGGCUAUGAGCAAAGGGGAAACCCGCCUUGAGAUGGGCCCGCGUCCCAUCAGCUAGUUGGUGAGGUAACAGCUCACCAAGGCGACGACGGGUAGCCGGCCUGAGAGGGUGACCGGCCACACUGGGACUGAGACACGGCCCAGACUCCUACGGGGGGCAGCAGUGGGGGAUCUUGCACAAUGGGCGAAAGCCUGAUGCAGCGACGCCGCGUGAGCGAAGAAGGCCUUCGGGUUGUAAAGCUCUGUCUGGAGGGACGAACAAAAUGACGGUACCUCCGGAGGAAGCCACGGCUAACUACGUG
RNAcentral lists this ribosomal RNA (474 nucleotides) under uncultured bacterium. RNAcentral's name for it is "bacterial SSU rRNA". It matches the Rfam family "Bacterial small subunit ribosomal RNA", at positions 33 to 507 of the family's 1533-position model. The record is from RNAcentral.